UACGUAGGUGGCAAGCGUUGUCCGGAUUUAUUGGGUUUAAAGGGUGCGUAGGCGGCCCUGUAAGUCAGUGCUGAAAUACCCCGGCUUAACCGGGGGGGGUGGCAUUGAUACUGCAGGGCUUGAGUACAGAUGAGGUAGGCGGAAUUGACGGUGUAGCGGUGAAAUGCAUAGAUAUCGUCAAGAACACCGAUAGCGAAGGCAGCUUACUGGGCUGUAACUGACGCUGAUGCACGAAAAGUGUGGGGGAUCAAAACAGG
This 257-nucleotide ribosomal RNA is filed under the name uncultured bacterium. RNAcentral describes it as "partial 16S ribosomal RNA". It matches the Rfam family "Bacterial small subunit ribosomal RNA", at positions 524 to 776 of the family's 1533-position model. The record is from RNAcentral.